Molecule: ribosomal RNA, 2639 nt
Filed under: Klebsiella pneumoniae
Lineage: Bacteria; Pseudomonadati; Pseudomonadota; Gammaproteobacteria; Enterobacterales; Enterobacteriaceae
Also listed under: 1 other name
Description: bacterial LSU rRNA
Rfam family: Bacterial large subunit ribosomal RNA
Source: RNAcentral
ACUAUCGUUAACUGAAUACAUAGGUUAACGAGGCGAACCGGGGGAACUGAAACAUCUAAGUACCCCGAGGAAAAGAAAUCAACCGAGAUUCCCCCAGUAGCGGCGAGCGAACGGGGAGCAGCCCAGAGUCUGAAUCAGCUUGUGUGUUAGUGGAACGGUCUGGAAAGUCCGACGGUACAGGGUGAUAGUCCCGUACACCAAAAUGCACAGGUUGUGAACUCGAAGAGUAGGGCGGGACACGUGGUAUCCUGUCUGAAUAUGGGGGGACCAUCCUCCAAGGCUAAAUACUCCUGACUGACCGAUAGUGAACCAGUACCGUGAGGGAAAGGCGAAAAGAACCCCGGCGAGGGGAGUGAAAAAGAACCUGAAACCGUGUACGUACAAGCAGUGGGAGCACCUUCGGGUGUGACUGCGUACCUUUUGUAUAAUGGGUCAGCGACUUAUAUUCUGUAGCAAGGUUAACCGUAUAGGGGAGCCGCAGGGAAACCGAGUCUUAACUGGGCGUUAAGUUGCAGGGUAUAGACCCGAAACCCGGUGAUCUAGCCAUGGGCAGGUUGAAGGUUGGGUAACACUAACUGGAGGACCGAACCGACUAAUGUUGAAAAAUUAGCGGAUGACUUGUGGCUGGGGGUGAAAGGCCAAUCAAACCGGGAGAUAGCUGGUUCUCCCCGAAAGCUAUUUAGGUAGCGCCUCGUGAAUUCAUCUUCGGGGGUAGAGCACUGUUUCGGCUAGGGGGUCAUCCCGACUUACCAACCCGAUGCAAACUACGAAUACCGAAGAAUGUUAUCACGGGAGACACACGGCGGGUGCUAACGUCCGUCGUGAAGAGGGAAACAACCCAGACCGCCAGCUAAGGUCCCAAAGUCAUGGUUAAGUGGGAAACGAUGUGGGAAGGCACAGACAGCCAGGAUGUUGGCUUAGAAGCAGCCAUCAUUUAAAGAAAGCGUAAUAGCUCACUGGUCGAGUCGGCCUGCGCGGAAGAUGUAACGGGGCUAAACCAUGCACCGAAGCUGCGGCAGCGACACUAUGUGUUGUUGGGUAGGGGAGCGUUCUGUAAGCCUGCGAAGGUGUGCUGUGAGGCAUGCUGGAGGUAUCAGAAGUGCGAAUGCUGACAUAAGUAACGAUAAAGCGGGUGAAAAGCCCGCUCGCCGGAAGACCAAGGGUUCCUGUCCAACGUUAAUCGGGGCAGGGUGAGUCGACCCCUAAGGCGAGGCCGAAAGGCGUAGUCGAUGGGAAACAGGUUAAUAUUCCUGUACUUGGUGUUACUGCGAAGGGGGGACGGAGAAGGCUAUGUUAGCCGGGCGACGGUUGUCCCGGUUUAAGCAUGUAGGCUGAUUGUCCAGGCAAAUCCGGAUAAUCAAGGCUGAGGUGUGAUGACGAGGCACUACGGUGCUGAAGUAACAAAUGCCCUGCUUCCAGGAAAAGCCUCUAAGCAUCAGGUAACAUCAAAUCGUACCCCAAACCGACACAGGUGGUCAGGUAGAGAAUACCAAGGCGCUUGAGAGAACUCGGGUGAAGGAACUAGGCAAAAUGGUGCCGUAACUUCGGGAGAAGGCACGCUGGUGUGUAGGUGAAGUCCCUGCGGAUGGAGCUGAGACCAGUCGAAGAUACCAGCUGGCUGCAACUGUUUAUUAAAAACACAGCACUGUGCAAACACGAAAGUGGACGUAUACGGUGUGACGCCUGCCCGGUGCCGGAAGGUUAAUUGAUGGGGUUAUCCGUAAGGAGAAGCUCUUGAUCGAAGCCCCGGUAAACGGCGGCCGUAACUAUAACGGUCCUAAGGUAGCGAAAUUCCUUGUCGGGUAAGUUCCGACCUGCACGAAUGGCGUAAUGAUGGCCAGGCUGUCUCCACCCGAGACUCAGUGAAAUUGAACUCGCUGUGAAGAUGCAGUGUACCCGCGGCAAGACGGAAAGACCCCGUGAACCUUUACUAUAGCUUGACACUGAACAUUGAGCCUUGAUGUGUAGGAUAGGUGGGAGGCUUUGAAGCGUGGACGCCAGUCUGCGUGGAGCCAACCUUGAAAUACCACCCUUUAAUGUUUGAUGUUCUAACGUUGGCCCCUUACCGGGGUUGCGGACAGUGUCUGGUGGGUAGUUUGACUGGGGCGGUCUCCUCCCAAAGCGUAACGGAGGAGCACGAAGGUUAGCUAAUCCUGGUCGGACAUCAGGAGGUUAGUGCAAUGGCAUAAGCUAGCUUGACUGCGAGCGUGACGGCGCGAGCAGGUGCGAAAGCAGGUCAUAGUGAUCCGGUGGUUCUGAAUGGAAGGGCCAUCGCUCAACGGAUAAAAGGUACUCCGGGGAUAACAGGCUGAUACCGCCCAAGAGUUCAUAUCGACGGCGGUGUUUGGCACCUCGAUGUCGGCUCAUCACAUCCUGGGGCUGAAGUAGGUCCCAAGGGUAUGGCUGUUCGCCAUUUAAAGUGGUACGCGAGCUGGGUUUAGAACGUCGUGAGACAGUUCGGUCCCUAUCUGCCGUGGGCGCUGGAGAAUUGAGGGGGGCUGCUCCUAGUACGAGAGGACCGGAGUGGACGCAUCACUGGUGUUCGGGUUGUCAUGCCAAUGGCACUGCCCGGUAGCUAAAUGCGGAAGAGAUAAGUGCUGAAAGCAUCUAAGCACGAAACUUGCCCCGAGAUGAGUUCU